Molecule: ribosomal RNA, 497 nt
Filed under: uncultured bacterium
Lineage: Bacteria
Description: partial 16S ribosomal RNA
Rfam family: Bacterial small subunit ribosomal RNA
Source: RNAcentral
GAUGAACGCUGGCGGCGUGCCUAAUACAUGCAAGUCGAGCGAACAGACGAGGAGCUUGCUCCUCUGACGUUAGCGGCGGACGGGGGAGUAACACGUGGAUAACCUACCUAUAAGACUGGGAUAACUUCGGGAAACCGGAGCUAAUACCGGAUAAUAUAUUGAACCGCAUGGUUCAAUAGUGAAAGACGGUUUUGCUGUAACUUAUAGAUGGAUCCGCGCCGCAUUAGCUAGUUGGUAAGGUAACGGCUUACCAAGGCAACGAUGCGUAGCCGACCUGAGAGGGUGAUCGGCCACACUGGAACUGAGACACGGUCCAGACUCCUACGGGAGGCAGCAGUAGGGAAUCUUCCGCAAUGGGCGAAAGCCUGACGGAGCAACGCCGCGUGAGUGAUGAAGGUCUUCGGAUCGUAAAACUCUGUUAUUAGGGAAGAACAAAUGUGUAAGUAACUAUGCACGUCUUGACGGUACCUAAUCAGAAAGCCACGGCUAACUACGUG